GAUGAACGCUAGCUGGAGGCUUAAUACAUGCAAGUCGAGCGGGAUUCAGUUGUCUUCGGAUGAUUGAUGAGAGCGGCGGACGGGUGAGUAACGCGUACACGACCUACCUUUGACAGGGGGAUAGCCCUGGGAAACUGGGAUUAAUACCGCAUAUUAUUCUGAUUAAUAAAGAGUUGGAAUGAAAGUUCAGGCGGUCAAAGAUGGGUGUGCGUCUGAUUAGCUAGUUGGUAGGGUAACGGCCUACCAAGGCGAUGAUCAGUAGGGGGCGUGAGAGCGUGAUCCCCCCACACGGGUACUGAGACACGGACCCGACUCCUACGGGAGGCAGCAGUAAGGAAUAUUGGACAAUGGCCGCAAGGCUGAUCCAGCCAUCCAGCGUGCAGGAAGACGGCCCUACGGGUUGUAAACUGCUUUUGUCAGGGAAGAAACCUCUGGAUUUACUCCGGAGCUGACGGUACCUGAAGAAUAAGCACCGGCUAACUCCGUGCCAGCAGCCGCGGUAAUACGGAGGGUGCAAGCGUUAUCCGGAAUUACUGGGUUUAAAGGGUGCGUAGGCGGCUUUGUAAGUCAGGAGUGAAAGUUCGCGGCUCAACCGUAAAAUUGCUUUUGAUACUGCAUCGC
RNAcentral lists this ribosomal RNA (621 nucleotides) under uncultured bacterium. RNAcentral describes it as "bacterial SSU rRNA". It matches the Rfam family "Bacterial small subunit ribosomal RNA", at positions 28 to 641 of the family's 1533-position model. The record is from RNAcentral.